Molecule: ribosomal RNA, 1550 nt
Filed under: Klebsiella pneumoniae
Lineage: Bacteria; Pseudomonadati; Pseudomonadota; Gammaproteobacteria; Enterobacterales; Enterobacteriaceae
Description: bacterial SSU rRNA
Rfam family: Bacterial small subunit ribosomal RNA
Source: RNAcentral
AAAUUGAAGAGUUUGAUCAUGGCUCAGAUUGAACGCUGGCGGCAGGCCUAACACAUGCAAGUCGAGCGGUAGCACAGAGAGCUUGCUCUCGGGUGACGAGCGGCGGACGGGUGAGUAAUGUCUGGGAAACUGCCUGAUGGAGGGGGAUAACUACUGGAAACGGUAGCUAAUACCGCAUAACGUCGCAAGACCAAAGUGGGGGACCUUCGGGCCUCAUGCCAUCAGAUGUGCCCAGAUGGGAUUAGCUAGUAGGUGGGGUAAUGGCUCACCUAGGCGACGAUCCCUAGCUGGUCUGAGAGGAUGACCAGCCACACUGGAACUGAGACACGGUCCAGACUCCUACGGGAGGCAGCAGUGGGGAAUAUUGCACAAUGGGCGCAAGCCUGAUGCAGCCAUGCCGCGUGUGUGAAGAAGGCCUUCGGGUUGUAAAGCACUUUCAGCGGGGAGGAAGCCGUUAAGGUUAAUAACCUUGGCGAUUGACGUUACCCGCAGAAGAAGCACCGGCUAACUCCGUGCCAGCAGCCGCGGUAAUACGGAGGGUGCAAGCGUUAAUCGGAAUUACUGGGCGUAAAGCGCACGCAGGCGGUCUGUCAAGUCGGAUGUGAAAUCCCCGGGCUCAACCUGGGAACUGCAUUCGAAACUGGCAGGCUAGAGUCUUGUAGAGGGGGGUAGAAUUCCAGGUGUAGCGGUGAAAUGCGUAGAGAUCUGGAGGAAUACCGGUGGCGAAGGCGGCCCCCUGGACAAAGACUGACGCUCAGGUGCGAAAGCGUGGGGAGCAAACAGGAUUAGAUACCCUGGUAGUCCACGCCGUAAACGAUGUCGAUUUGGAGGUUGUGCCCUUGAGGCGUGGCUUCCGGAGCUAACGCGUUAAAUCGACCGCCUGGGGAGUACGGCCGCAAGGUUAAAACUCAAAUGAAUUGACGGGGGCCCGCACAAGCGGUGGAGCAUGUGGUUUAAUUCGAUGCAACGCGAAGAACCUUACCUGGUCUUGACAUCCACAGAACUUUCCAGAGAUGGAUUGGUGCCUUCGGGAACUGUGAGACAGGUGCUGCAUGGCUGUCGUCAGCUCGUGUUGUGAAAUGUUGGGUUAAGUCCCGCAACGAGCGCAACCCUUAUCCUUUGUUGCCAGCGGUUAGGCCGGGAACUCAAAGGAGACUGCCAGUGAUAAACUGGAGGAAGGUGGGGAUGACGUCAAGUCAUCAUGGCCCUUACGACCAGGGCUACACACGUGCUACAAUGGCAUAUACAAAGAGAAGCGACCUCGCGAGAGCAAGCGGACCUCAUAAAGUAUGUCGUAGUCCGGAUUGGAGUCUGCAACUCGACUCCAUGAAGUCGGAAUCGCUAGUAAUCGUAGAUCAGAAUGCUACGGUGAAUACGUUCCCGGGCCUUGUACACACCGCCCGUCACACCAUGGGAGUGGGUUGCAAAAGAAGUAGGUAGCUUAACCUUCGGGAGGGCGCUUACCACUUUGUGAUUCAUGACUGGGGUGAAGUCGUAACAAGGUAACCGUAGGGGAACCUGCGGUUGGAUCACCUCCUUACCUUAAAGAA